GACGAACGCUGGCGGCGUGCUUAACACAUGCAAGUCGAACGGAAAGGCCCUGCUUGUGUGGUGUGCUCGAGUGGCGAACGGGUGAGUAACACGUGAGUAACCUGCUCUUGACUUUGGGAUAACUUCAGGAAACUGGGGCUAAUACCGGAUAGGAGCUCCUGUUGCAUGGUGGGGGUUGGAUCGUCUCGGCGGUUGGGGAUGGACUCGCGGCUUAUGAGCUUGUUGGUGGGGUAGUGGCUGACCCAGGCAUUGACGGGUAGCCGGCCUGGGAGGGGGACCGGCCACAAUGGGACUGAGAUACGGCGCAGACUCCUACGGGAGGCAGCAGUGGGGAAUAUGGCACAAUGGGCGGAAGUCGGAUGCAGCGACGCCGCGUGCGGGAUGACGGCCUGCGGGUUGUAAACCGCUUUCGCCUGUGACGAAGCGGGAGUGACGGUAAUGGGUAAAGAAGCACCGGCUAACUACGUG
This 468-nucleotide ribosomal RNA is filed under the name uncultured bacterium. RNAcentral's name for it is "partial 16S ribosomal RNA". It matches the Rfam family "Bacterial small subunit ribosomal RNA", at positions 28 to 507 of the family's 1533-position model. The record is from RNAcentral.